CUAAAAUUCUGUCUGCUACAUCAAAGCUGUUGUUGACAUCUGAAACUGAAAUAUCAUCAAGAUACCAAAAGUGAAAUUCCCAAGGAGGAACUUUAAUCCUGUUUAUGGGAAGGUGGAGUGAAUGAACAACACAUGAAUGUACAAAGGCACCUAGACACUGGCGAUAACAGAAUGGAAAGGACAGAAGCUGGGAAAUGUCUCUUGGAAAGAAUGUAAUGAAGCUGCUGAUUGCUGCAAAGUUCUCCUGAAGAAGGAACUCCAAAUAGUUAACCACACUGUGGGGAAGGGUGUAUUUAAAGCCAGGCUCCUGCUGCCUCCCCACCACCCUGCAAUGUACCUUCAGCCCAGCAGUAGCUUGGACAUCUCCAUGUUGAGGUGGCCCAAGCAUUCAGGACCCAAGCAGCUGGAUAGGGCAACUACACUGCAUGAAGGCUUCCUUGUUCAACUCUUCUUCAGUGGAAACCUCUACCCACCUCCUCUGCUGUCAACUGAGUGGAAAAGGAGCAAAGAACAUGGAGG
Long non-coding RNA from Gopherus evgoodei (Goodes thornscrub tortoise), 519 nucleotides. RefSeq lists it as uncharacterized. The record is from RefSeq and is a predicted model, not a curated record. Lineage: Eukaryota; Metazoa; Chordata; Testudines; Testudinidae. The transcript is spliced from 3 exons.